This 86-nucleotide transfer RNA is filed under the name Coniochaeta ligniaria NRRL 30616. RNAcentral's name for it is "tRNA-Ala". Lineage: Eukaryota; Fungi; Ascomycota; Sordariomycetes; Coniochaetales; Coniochaetaceae. The record is from RNAcentral.
GGGGAUAUGGUCUAGGGGUAUGAUUUCUCUUUCGCAUCACCAGAUGUUACUAGAGAAGGUCCGGGAUUCGAAUUCCCGUGUCUCCA